CAGCCGCCGCGGGAAAACGGAGGGUGCAAGCGUUAAUCGGAAUUACUGGGCGUAAAGCGCACGCAGGCGGUUUGUUAAGUCAGAUGUGAAAUCCCCGAGCUUAACUUGGGAACUGCAUUUGAAACUGGCAAGCUAGAGUCUUGUAGAGGGGGGUAGAAUUCCAGGUGUAGCGGUGAAAUGCGUAGAGAUCUGGAGGAAUACCGGUGGCGAAGGCGGCCCCCUGGACAAAGACUGACGCUCAGGUGCGAAAGCGUGGGGAGCAAACUGGAUUAGAUACCCCUGUAGUCCCUGUCUCUUAUAC
Molecule: ribosomal RNA, 301 nt
Filed under: uncultured bacterium
Lineage: Bacteria
Description: partial 16S ribosomal RNA
Rfam family: Bacterial small subunit ribosomal RNA
Source: RNAcentral